Molecule: long non-coding RNA, 1131 nt
Organism: Ostrinia nubilalis (European corn borer)
Lineage: Eukaryota; Metazoa; Arthropoda; Insecta; Lepidoptera; Crambidae
Exons: 3
Source: RefSeq, a predicted model, not a curated record
GAAUGAAAUACGAGUUCCACUACCCGCCCCCAGGUGGCAUACAUACUUUAAGGCUAGGCAGGCUAAGUUGAAUACUACUCUACAAUAGGUGGCGUUAAUGGACUACGAAAAACGACGUGAAAUGCUUACUUCUUUUUAUUUAUUUAUACUUUAAUGCCAAAAUUUUAACCUAAGGUGAACUUAAUCUCACAUUUAAUAAAUUAUACAUAAAUAAGUGUUUUGAGAAGUAGUAUUUUAAUCUAUGUUCUGUGAAUGACAAGUGUUAUCUGUCAAGUGUCAAAAAACUUGAAAAACUUUUACGAAGUUUUUGAAUUAUGUUAAAUUUGUUUAUAAACACAAGUAAGUAUAGAUUAUUACACUAAAUUAAGGCAUUCUAUCAAAAAUGAAAACAACCCAAGUUUCAAUAACUACUCCUGUAACUUUGGUUUCUUCAUAUCAAAUAAUCAAUUUCAUUUUCAGUGCCAAAGGCAAGAAUAAUUGCCCACGCCAGAUGGAGACCCAGCUAAAUAAUGUAGUAACAGCGCGUGGUCGUGUGAUGAGGGUUCCUUGACUUGAGUUCUGGCGCAACACGUCCUGGGCACUAAACAAGAUUGGGGAUGGGACGUCUAAAGAGGUGCAGGCCUGGAAAACGCUCUCGUCUUGCUCUACAGCACUUGCACUUGUCCCACCAUCUACCAGUGUUGGAACUCUUCCAAUAAUUACCCACACCCAGGUGGAGAAUACUCCAGUUGCUGCUACUGCUACUCUAAAAUAUCUCUCAUCUUGUUCUACAGCGCCUGCACCUGUCCUACCAUCUACCAGUGUUGGAACUCGUCGAAGUGUAUUAAUGAUUAUUAUUUUAGUAACCAUAAAAGUUUAAAACAAUACAUUUUAUUGCAUAAUUAUUUGUUAGAAAAAACGACAAGUACAAAUGAGUAGGGAGGCUGUUGAUUUUUCAUGGUUAUUUUAUAUCUUGUUGAUUGUUCCAAAAAAAAACUAAGUUUUCAAGAAUGCUGUGAUUAAAGUACCUAUAGUAUUAUAUUUAAAAUAAAAACUUAGUUUGUAAAGAGACGAAGGCUGACCACAAAAGAAGUACUUAUAGCUGUCUGUGUCUGUGUAAAGAAUUUAAAUAAAAAGAUGUGUAUAUUUAAA